This 253-nucleotide ribosomal RNA is filed under the name uncultured bacterium. RNAcentral's name for it is "partial 16S ribosomal RNA". It matches the Rfam family "Bacterial small subunit ribosomal RNA", at positions 524 to 776 of the family's 1533-position model. The record is from RNAcentral.
UACGUAGGCAGCAAGCGUUGUUCGGAGUUACUGGGCGUAAAGGGCGCGUAGGCGGCGCACCAAGUCAGGCGUGAAAGCCCUGGGCUCAACCCGGGAAUUGCGCUUGAGACUGGUGUGCUUGAGUACGGGAGAGGAUAGUGGAAUUCCCAGUGUAGAGGUGAAAUUCGUAGAUAUUGGGAAGAACACCGGUGGCGAAGGCGGCUAUCUGGACCGUAACUGACGCUGAGGCGCGAAAGCGUGGGGAGCAAACAGG